CCUACGGGUGGCAGCAGUGGGGAAUAUUGGACAAUGGGGGCAACCCUGAUCCAGCCAUGCCGCGUGUGUGAAGAAGGCCCUCGGGUUGUAAAGCACUUUCAGCGAGGAAGAACGCCUGGUGGUUAAUACCCAUCAGGAAAGACAUCACUCACAGAAGAAGCACCGGCUAACUCCGUGCCAGCAGCCGCGGUAAUACGGAGGGUGCGAGCGUUAAUCGGAAUUACUGGGCGUAAAGCGCGCGUAGGUGGCUUGAUAAGCCGGUUGUGAAAGCCCCGGGCUCAACCUGGGAACGGCAUCCGGAACUGUCAAGCUAGAGUGCAGGAGAGGAAGGUAGAAUUCCCGGUGUAGCGGUGAAAUGCGUAGAGAUCGGGAGGAAUACCAGUGGCGAAGGCGGCCUUCUGGACUGACACUGACACUGAGGUGCGAAAGCGUGGGUAGCAAACAGGAUUAGAUACCCGAGUAGUC
This 465-nucleotide ribosomal RNA is filed under the name Vreelandella stevensii. RNAcentral describes it as "partial 16S ribosomal RNA". It matches the Rfam family "Bacterial small subunit ribosomal RNA", at positions 338 to 795 of the family's 1533-position model. Lineage: Bacteria; Pseudomonadati; Pseudomonadota; Gammaproteobacteria; Oceanospirillales; Halomonadaceae. The record is from RNAcentral.